GCUAAUGUAGCUUAAGUAAAGCAUGACACUGAAGAUGUUAAAAUAGGCCCUAGUAAGCCUCACGAGCA
Molecule: transfer RNA, 68 nt
Filed under: Culaea inconstans (brook stickleback)
Lineage: Eukaryota; Metazoa; Chordata; Actinopteri; Perciformes; Gasterosteidae
Description: tRNA-Phe
Rfam family: tRNA
About the family: Transfer RNA (tRNA) molecules are approximately 80 nucleotides in length. Their secondary structure includes four short double-helical elements and three loops (D, anti-codon, and T loops).
Source: RNAcentral